RNAcentral lists this ribosomal RNA (253 nucleotides) under uncultured bacterium. RNAcentral describes it as "partial 16S ribosomal RNA". It matches the Rfam family "Bacterial small subunit ribosomal RNA", at positions 524 to 776 of the family's 1533-position model. The record is from RNAcentral.
UACGUAGGCAGCAAGCGUUGUUCGGAGUUACUGGGCGUAAAGCGCACGUAGGCGGUUCGUUAUGUCGGAUGUGAAAGCCCUUGGCUUAACCGAGGAAGUGCAUCCGAAACUGGCGAGCUAGAGUACGAAAGAGGAUCGCGGAAUUCCCGGUGUAGAGGUGAAAUUCGUAGAUAUCGGGAGGAACACCGGUGGCGAAGGCGGCGAUCUGGGUCGAUACUGACGCUGAGGUGCGAAAGCGUGGGGAGCAAACAGG